Marmota monax (woodchuck) is the source of this 3213-nucleotide long non-coding RNA. RefSeq lists it as uncharacterized. Lineage: Eukaryota; Metazoa; Chordata; Mammalia; Rodentia; Sciuridae. The transcript has 5 exons. The record is from RefSeq and is a predicted model, not a curated record.
UCCAUGGUCCAGAGAUCUCCACCAUGGGCCCUGGUAUCCCACCCUCCGGGUCCAUUCAGCACAGAUGCAGCUCACUCUCUGGCUCCUUACAAAAAUGGGAUUUCAUUAUACCCUGUCCUUUGGAUCUGCUUAAAGAACAAAAGUCACUAUAGAUUGUGAACAUAAUUCCACUGGAACACAGCCAUCAAUCUCCUUUUUUUUUUCCUUUCUUUCUGGGAAGACACUUCUAAUCCAAGAGGAAUUCUGGACUCUGAAUAUGGAAAUGAGAUGUGAGUUCAGUGCCUCUGUGCUGGGAACACAGAUCAUCUUCCACACACUGACCCCACGAGCCAGUGGCGCUAGGGCAUGGGCUAUGCCAACCCGGCAGCCUGGCCAUCUAAUUCUAAAUUUAGAGGUGACAUGGGCCAUUUGAACAGGAUGCCAAGGGAAGUGCAGAGGAGCUGGCACAUCCCCGAGCUGGCAGAGAUGCUGGGGAAGUGGGGACGAAGUGGUUGGCUGGGACAGAGAGCUGUACCUAUUCCUGGCCCCUCCAUCUAACCAAGACUGUCACCAGAACAUGGUCAGAGACAUCAGCACUGCUCCCUUGAAAUGCAAUAACCACCCCUGGAAUGCUUGGCUCCCCAAAAUAGAAUCUAUGGAAACAACACGGCAAGGGACAGCGUGUCAGAGACCCCAGAAAGGACGCACAUCACUCUGAAACUUCAAGAGUGGCUUCCUUGACUGUUCUUAAAGGAGAUUCUUGGAGGCCUCUGCAGGACUGGUCAGAAGUACAAUAAGCUCUGUCCUUUAGACAAGGAAACGGGACACUUUGUUCAAGUUGAGCAUCUGGAAAGAGCCCAGAGACCACAAGCUGCUGGAAGUCUUCGCCCAAGCCACUCUCCAUCUGUGCCUCCCCUGCCUGUAGCACCUCAGUUCUGGUGCUUCUCACCCUCAGGACUUCUGCCUCCUAAUUCUGAGUUUGCAGAAUGAAGACCACAUGUCACUGCAGUCUGCCAUCUUCAGCCCUAGGACCAACUCACUGCAGACAGAUCUUGAUCCCAUAAAGAGUUUUGUGCUGCAGGCCUCAGGAAGCACGAUGCAUCUUGGGUCUGCCUGGGUCAAGGCAACACACAUGAGCUGCAAUCUUGGGCCGCUAUGACAAAGCACCAUGGAUCAGGCAGCUUAAACAGGACAUUUGUUUCUCACCAUCCUGGGAGCCAGAAGGAAGUAGAAUUGCCAGCAGGUUCGUUCCAUGAGGACCUGCAAUGCCACCUUGUCACUGUGUCUUUGCAUGGCAGAAGCAGCUCUGGUCCCUAUAUCCCCUUAUAUGGCCACUAACCCUGUCAAAGGGCCCCAUCCUCAUGACCUCCAAAAGGUUUCAUCUCCAAAUGUCACAUUGGGGGUCAGGGCUUCAACAUAUGGAAUUGGGGGAAGGGCACAAUUCAGCCCAUAGCAAUUACCUUCUGCUAAAUACACCAUUUCCACAUCCAUUUUUGGUCUUUAGUCAAUCCCAUAGGGGUCCAGUCCUGUCUGUUCCUAGACAGUCAAUUUCCCUGGCAGGUUACUCAUCAAUCCAUCACUACUGCACACACAACACAGUAUCCAGGGGCCCAUUCUGGAGUUCUAACCCCCCAGGACCUCAGAAUGGGACCUAACUUAGAAACACAAUCCCUACGGGUGUCAUUAAUUAAACAAGGUCAUACUGGAGGAGAAGGAACCUAAUUCAAUAUGUCCCAUGUUGUUACAAUGGGGAUACACACAUAGGGAGACGGUCUUGUGAAUAAGCACAGGAGAAGAUGGCCAUCACUGAGUUGAGGGCAGAGGCCAGGAACAAAGCCUCCCUUACAACCCUCAGGAGGGUCAAACCGGCCCAUACUUUGAUCUCAGUCUUCCAGCCUCCAGAACUAUACCACCAAGUUUGUGGUAUUCUGUUACAGCAGCACUAGAAAACUGAUACAUGGUUUCCUGUAUAGUUGCUCAUUUAAUUCUCACAACAACCUGUAACAUUUAUUAUCAUUGCUCCCAUUUUCCUCUUUUGUGGGUAAGAAGGCAACUGAGGCACAGAGAGGCUAAGGAACUUGUGUGAGAGUCCACAGCUACUAAGUGGUAGUAGGUGGAUUCAAAACCAAGCAAUCUGGCUCCAAAGUCCUUGCUCCAGCUACUGCCUUGAAUGGCUUCUCACAUUUGUAAAGCAUUAAGCUACCACAUGUUCUUUCAGGUCUCUGUUAUGGUUUAGAUGUGCUGUCUCCCAGAAACUCACAUAUGAGAAAAUGCAAGAAGGUUUGGAGGAGAUUGCAUUAGAAGCUUAACCUAAUCAGUGAAAUAAUCCCUGAUGGGAUUAAUUGAAUGAUAAAUGGGAGCAGGUAGGGUGUGGCUGGAGGAGGUGGUUCAUUGGGGGCGUGGCUAUGGGAUAUAUAUUUUGUAUCUGGCAAGUGGAAUCUGUUUUCUGAUCACCAUGUGAGCUGCUUCCCUCUGCCACGAUGUUCAGCCUCACCUUGAGCCCUGAGGAGUGGAUUCUGUGGCUAUGGGUUGAGACCUCUGAAACUGUGAGCCCUUAAAUAAACUUUUCCUCCCCUACAGUUGUUCUGGUUGGGUCCUUUUAGUCACAGCAGCAAAAGAAGCUAAAACCCCGUCCCAUGUCAUGGUCCCAUUGUCUCUUUCUGCACCCACCCCCUGCUCCAUGGAGGACAUGGCCUCCUCGUGUGCUUUCUGGUAGAAUGAGUCCUCUUCUGUUUCAAAGAUGACUGAGCUACCUCCUUUAUAUUCUAGAUUGUGUUUACUGCCUCCCAUAAUCCAGCUGCCAUUCCAACCAGGACUGCUCUGAACCUACAAAUUAAUUGGGGGAAAAACAAUACAGUGGCAUGGUCUCACUCCAGCAAGACCUCCUUUCAUUCAGGUAUCUCAUGUCCUCAGGCAGGUCUGAAACUGUCUCCUCAGCUCCCCACCCCAUAACCUUUCCUAAACAAACCUACUUCCAGUGAUGGCAGCUUGGUGCCCCCUGAGUGCUCCCCACUCCUGCCUCUACCUCCCCUCACUCUCCUAGACCCUGGGCUGCCAUGCCGCUGUUCUUUCUAACAGGGGUCUGAUACCUGCGUUGUGAUGGGGAGGAGCAAUUGAUUUUCUUAUUGACAGAUUAAAAACUGCCUGUAGCUAUGGAUCUCUUGAGCUUCCUAACCCUGAUUUCUAUAAAUUGGGAUUGCACGAAUCCUGCUCAACACUCAUAAUAAACUUGAG